GGGGAGUAGCCCACCCGUCCAGACGGGGUCCGCGCGUCAACACACUUGGUCCACAGGCCAUGGUGCGCGGGACGAAGCGAUCCGCUUCGCCGGGCAAGACCGAAGGCAGGCGUCGCGCUUACCCGGGCCGGGCAGUGCGUCGUU
This 144-nucleotide small RNA is filed under the name Lysobacterales bacterium. Its description in RNAcentral is "Xanthomonadales bacterium Manganese sequence". The stretch from base 1 to 91 matches the Rfam family "Manganese Mn2+ riboswitch aptamer (yybP-ykoY)". From Rfam's summary of the family: This RNA was originally discovered in E. coli during a large scale screen and was named SraF. The family was later found to exist upstream of related families of protein genes in many bacteria, including the the yybP and ykoK genes in B. subtilis. Lineage: Bacteria; Pseudomonadati; Pseudomonadota; Gammaproteobacteria; Lysobacterales. The record is from RNAcentral.